RNAcentral lists this ribosomal RNA (368 nucleotides) under uncultured organism. RNAcentral describes it as "bacterial SSU rRNA". It matches the Rfam family "Bacterial small subunit ribosomal RNA", at positions 526 to 896 of the family's 1533-position model. The record is from RNAcentral.
CGGAGGAUCCAAGCGUUAUCCGGAUUCAUUGGGUUUAAAGGGUGCGUAGGCGGAAUGAUAAGUCAGUGGUGAAAUCCCUUCGCUUAACGAAGGAACUGCCAUUGAUACUGUCAAUCUUGAGUACAUUUGAUGUGGGCGGAAUGUGUCAUGUAGCGGUGAAAUGCUUAGAUAUGACACAGAACACCGAUUGCGAAGGCAGCUCACAAAACUGUAACUGACGCUGAGGCACGAAAGCGUGGGUAUCAAACAGGAUUAGAUACCCUGGUAGUCCACGCUGUAAACCAUGAUUACUCGAUGUUUGCGAUACACUGUAAGCGUCUAGGCGAAAGCGAUAAGUAAUCCACCUGGGGAGUACGCUCGCAAGAGUG